Molecule: ribosomal RNA, 253 nt
Filed under: uncultured bacterium
Lineage: Bacteria
Description: partial 16S ribosomal RNA
Rfam family: Bacterial small subunit ribosomal RNA
Source: RNAcentral
UACGGAGGGGGCUAGCGUUGUUCGGAAUUACUGGGCGUAAAGCGCACGUAGGCGGCUUUGCAAGUUAGAGGUGAAAGCCCGGGGCUCAACUCCGGAAUUGCCUUUAAAACUGCAUCGCUAGAAUUGUGGAGAGGUAAGUGCAAUUCCGAGUGUAGAGGUGAAAUUCGUAGAUAUUCGGAAGAACACCAGUGGCGAAGGCGACUUACUGGACACAUAUUGACGCUGAGGUGCGAAAGCGUGGGGAGCAAACAGG